This 303-nucleotide ribosomal RNA is filed under the name Heptapsogaster temporalis. RNAcentral's name for it is "partial 12S ribosomal RNA". Lineage: Eukaryota; Metazoa; Arthropoda; Insecta; Psocodea; Heptapsogasteridae. The record is from RNAcentral.
ACUAGGAUUAGAUACCCUAUUAUUCUUACACAAAUACUUGAAUAGAGUAAGGAAUGAAAAACAUCGGAUAUGGCGGUCUUUUAUCUGAUCAGAGAAGCAUGCUAGUUCAAUGAAUCUACCCAAAGAACUCUUCUUUUCCUUGUAUAAUUCAUUUUGUACACCGCUAUCUGAAAGAGGUCUUCAUAGAGUUCUCUUUUAUCCAAUGAGGAUAUAAGUUAAGUAAAGGUGCAGACUAUGGGAAAGAGCUAGUGUGCCUCAAUUUAAGUUAAUGAAAGUUUGAAAAGGUCCAAGAGAAYYYGAAAG